AUGCAAGUCGAGCGGACAGAUGGGAAGCUUGCUCCCUGAUGUUAGCGGCGGACGGGUGAGUAACACGUGGGUAACCUGCCUGUAAGACUGGGAUAACUCCGGGAAACCGGGGCUAAUACCGGAUGGUUGUCUGAACCGCAUGGUUCAGACAUAAAAGGUGGCUUCGGCUACCACUUACAGAUGGACCCGCGGCGCAUUAGCUAGUUGGUGAGGUAACGGCUCACCAAGGCGACGAUGCGUAGCCGACCUGAGAGGGUGAUCGGCCACACUGGGACUGAGACACGGCCCAGACUCCUACGGGAGGCAGCAGUAGGGAAUCUUCCGCAAUGGACGAAAGUCUGACGGAGCAACGCCGCGUGAGUGAUGAAGGUUUUCGGAUCGUAAAGCUCUGUUGUUAGGGAAGAACAAGUGCCGUUCAAAUAGGGCGGCACCUUGACGGUACCUAACCAGAAAGCCACGGCUAACUACGUGCCAGCAGCCGCGGUAAUACGUAGGUGGCAAGCGUUGUCCGGAAUUAUUGGGCGUAAAGGGCUCGCAGGCGGUUUCUUAAGUCUGAUGUGAAAGCCCCCGGCUCAACCGGGGAGGGUCAUUGGAAACUGGGGAACUUGAGUGCAGAAGAGGAGAGUGGAAUUCCACGUGUAGCGGUGAAAUGCGUAGAGAUGUGGAGGAACACCAGUGGCGAAGGCGACUCUCUGGUCUGUAACUGACGCUGAGGAGCGAAAGCGUGGGGAGCGAACAGGAUUAGA
This 746-nucleotide ribosomal RNA is filed under the name Bacillus subtilis. Its description in RNAcentral is "bacterial SSU rRNA". It matches the Rfam family "Bacterial small subunit ribosomal RNA", at positions 55 to 782 of the family's 1533-position model. The record is from RNAcentral. Lineage: Bacteria; Bacillati; Bacillota; Bacilli; Caryophanales; Bacillaceae.